CGCGUAGGCGGCCUGCUAAGUCGAACGUGAAAUCCCUGGGCUCAACCCAGGAACUGCGUCCGAUACUGGUUGGCUUGAAUCCGGGAGAGGGAUGCGGAAUUCCAGGUGUAGUGGUGAAAUGCGUAGAUAUCUGGAGGAACACCGGUGGCGAAGGCGGCAUCCUGGACCGGCAUUGACGCUGAGGCGCGAAAGCCAGGGGAGCAAACG
Molecule: ribosomal RNA, 207 nt
Filed under: uncultured bacterium
Lineage: Bacteria
Description: partial 16S ribosomal RNA
Rfam family: Bacterial small subunit ribosomal RNA
Source: RNAcentral